Ictidomys tridecemlineatus (thirteen-lined ground squirrel) is the source of this 69-nucleotide non-coding RNA. The record is from Rfam. Lineage: Eukaryota; Metazoa; Chordata; Mammalia; Rodentia; Sciuridae.
GGGAUGUAGCUCAGUGGUAGAGCAGUUGCCCAGUAUGCACAAGGCCCUGGGUUUGAUCCCCAGCACCCA